Molecule: ribosomal RNA, 467 nt
Filed under: uncultured bacterium
Lineage: Bacteria
Description: partial 16S ribosomal RNA
Rfam family: Bacterial small subunit ribosomal RNA
Source: RNAcentral
GACGAACGCUGGCGGCGUGCUUACCCAAGCAAGUUGGACGGAAAGGCCCCGCCUUUUUGGGGUGCCCGAGUGGCGAACCGGGGAGUAACCCGUGAGUAACCUGCCCUUGACUUUGGGAUAACUUCAGGAAACUGGGGCUAAUACCGGAUAGGAGCUCCCGCUGCAUGGUGGGGGUUGGAAAGUUUCGGCGGGUGGGGAUGGACUCGCGGCUUAUCAGCUUGUUGGUGGGGUAGUGGCUUACCAAGGCUUUGACGGGUAGCCGGCCUGAGAGGGUGACCGGCCACAUUGGGACUGAGAUACGGCCCAGACUCCUACGGGAGGCAGCAGUGGGGAAUAUUGCACAAUGGGCGGAAGCCUGAUGCAGCAACGCCGCGUGCGGGAUGACGGCCUUCGGGUUGUAAACCGCUUUCGCCUGUGACGAAGCGUGAGUGACGGUAAUGGGUAAAGAAGCACCGGCUAACUACGUG